This 576-nucleotide long non-coding RNA is filed under the name Mytilus galloprovincialis (Mediterranean mussel). The record is from RNAcentral. Lineage: Eukaryota; Metazoa; Mollusca; Bivalvia; Mytilida; Mytilidae.
GUCAGGUUUACGUAUGUAGUUGGCGUUUGUGUUUUGUUUCACUUCAGUGAUUCUGUGUUUUCUUUGUUUCCCUCGGUUGUAUUCUGUUAUCCGUUUUAUUAUAUUUUUUUUUUAUCUCAAUCGAUGUAUGAAUUUUAAACACCGGUAUACUACUGUUGCCUUUAUUUAUGAUUUUUUUUUUGUCAUAUGUCCGGACUUCUAGGAUUUUUCCCUUUGGUAUAGGGUAAAAUAUUUCAUUCCAUAUCACUCCUUUUUCUUUUUAUGGAAGACUUUAAUAGCUAAUAAAUAUGUCAUUUUAAAAAACUUUUAAAGUAGAUUCUAGAUUUUUUUUAACGAAGUGAGACUCAAACAAUGCCUUUGUUGAAUAUAAGGUAAAAUUAGGAGUCAGUCUUUUCACGUCAUUUAAAGAUAUUAAAUAUCGUACAAAGAAUCAAUAUCAAUAUUUUUAGCCUAUUUUGUUCCUUUAAUUUUCUAUAAUUUCACCCACAUGUAAUUUCAUCCUUAAACGAUUAAAAUGUUCCUUUGUGUCUAUAAUGUGAUCAGUUGUGAAUCAAAUUUAGUCCAGUAACAAAUAUC